Molecule: long non-coding RNA, 1696 nt
Organism: Papaver somniferum (opium poppy)
Lineage: Eukaryota; Viridiplantae; Streptophyta; Magnoliopsida; Ranunculales; Papaveraceae
Exons: 10
Source: RefSeq, a predicted model, not a curated record
UUCUCUCGUUGUCUCGUUCUCCGUCUCUCGAUUCUCUUCCAUCAUGUCUGAAAUUCGAAGAUUUCUGAGAUCUCAAAUCCCAAAUCAAACUAAACUAUUUAUUUUUCGCCUUAGGGUUUUAAGGUUUGCAUAUAAAAGUUGUUUUAGGGUUCAGUCUCUUCUCUAGUCUCCAAAAACUCUCAAGACCAGCAGCACAAAGAAGAAGAAAUGACCUAAAUUUCUCAUUUCCUUGUUAGCAAAUGCAAAGACUGUUUCAGUCAAGCUGGAAAAGAUUGAAGGUGUUGUUCUUGCUACUACUAAUCCUAACAAACAAAAGAGCCCUUCAAGUUUGGUGGGGAAAACUGUCAUGAAGAAGAAAAUCAGUAGAACGGCUAAGGUUGUUGCCAAACUACCUCAUCUCUCCAAUUUGGCGUACAAACAAGUCGCUCUGCCUGACGUUGAAGUCGGUUCAUACGUCUUGGUCAGAGUUGGCCGCAGAGAUUGAGAGGCGUGCCGAGAAUCAUAAUUAGAAACUACUACUGCUUGGGGAUGGAGAGUCACGGAAGUCUACAACCUUUAAGAAGGUAGAAAACCAAAAGUUUUCUUAUAAUUGAAAAUCAAACAACAUAUUUUGCAUUCAGUCUUGUGAUAUAGGAAGGUAUGAAGUGGGCUACAGGGGAAUGGGGGUGUAAUUGCAUUUCCGGAGCGCCAAGAUUCCAUGUAUAGGAUGGGGGAGGGAAAGGUUGUUCCCAUCUUGGUAAUUGAAGGAUGGAACUUAAUUAAUACUUUCCAUUCACAAGAGAUUGCUGAGCUCCGGGGAAUCCCUUCUUACUGGAUGGACAACGAGUAGAGAAUAGGACCAGGAAAUACAAUUAGCUUUAAGUUGCUUCCUGAUGAGCCCACUGUUGAAGACAAAUAGGAUGAUAACGAGGACAACGAUGAUGAGCAUGAUGAUGUUGAAGGGAAGUUGCUUGUAUGCUUGCAGAUGACUGCAGUAGACGUGUGAUGAUUGAGAUAGGUGGUGACGGUGACAUACCUUAUCCUACCUGUAUCUUCUGUGGUCUUUUCCUUUCUUACUCUGGAAUUUUUUAUUUUAUGUUGCAGGAGUUUUGAACUGUCUUUCCAAAGUUGUAUCCCUGGGAUUCAAAGAGGGUACUAAUUGCAGUGAGGUUGAUAUCAUCAAGCCUUGAAUAUUGACUACUUUAUUUUUGCUUUCAAGAGUUGGGUAUGCUAAGGCUUCUUAUCUCACGUGCAAUGGGAUUCGAGACUAUACCUGGAUUUACCUUACUGCUGGGUCUGGAGGCAGGCUUAGACUUUGAUUGUCAGUUGCAUCCGAUGCUGCCUGUAAUAAUCUAAAUGUUGCGCUGUGAAAGGCUCUGUAACGGGUGUCUUGAAGUGGUUGUCGGGAAGUUACUGACUUUGCAACUUAUGCAUUUGGGCCAACUAUUGUGGUCACUCCUUUAGGUGCACUCAGCAUUAUUAUCAGGCACAAAACAAGUUCAUUCCCCAAGUUGUGUACUCUUUCCUCUUCAGUUUUUGUGCUAAGUGUCAUAUUCUCUUGCACUGCUGCACUUGCAAAACAUAGAAAUAUCUUAUGGAAAAGAAGUCCUUUUCAUUUCUAGUUUUAUUUUUUGUUCAACAGUUUCUGUAAAGUACAUUGCUUAGCUAAUUUUGGUUCUAGAACAGAGGUAUCUUGAUUUUGUUGGAUUAAUUUGAU